Molecule: ribosomal RNA, 875 nt
Filed under: uncultured archaeon
Lineage: Archaea
Description: bacterial SSU rRNA
Rfam family: Archaeal small subunit ribosomal RNA
Source: RNAcentral
UGGCUCAGUAACACGUGGAGAAUCUAACCUUUGGUGGAGGAUAAUCUCGGGAAACUGAGAAUAAUACUCCAUAAACAUAGGAUGCUGGAAUGCUUCUAUGUUGAAAGGCAACGCCAAAGGAUGACUCUGCGACCUAUCAGGCUGUAGUGAGUGUAAUGGACUCACUAACCUGCAACGGGUACGGGUGUUGGAAGACAUUGCCCAGAGAUGGACUCUGAGACAUGAGUCCAGGUUCUACGGAACGCAGCAGGCGCGAAAACUCCGCAAUGUACGAAAGUACGACGGGGGAAUUCUGAGUGCUUACGCCUUGCGUAGGCUGUUUUCUUGUCUAAAAAACAAGGAGAGUAAGGGCUGGGUAAGACGGGUGCCAUCUCGUGCAAUUCUGCACUUAUUGUGUUCGUUGCACGAAGCACAAGCCGCCGCGGUAAUACCCGCGGCCCGAGUGGUGCUCAUUAUUAUUGAGCCUAAAACGUCCGUAGCCGGUUUAAUAAAUUCUUGGGUAAAUCAUAUCGCUUAACGAUAUGAAUUCUGAGAACACUGCUAAACUCGGGAAUGGGAGAGGCCAGAGGUACUUUCAGGGUAGGGGUAAAAUCCCGUAAUCCUGAGAGGACCACCGGUGGCGAAGGCGUCUGGCUAGAACAUAUUCGACGGUAAGGGACGAAGCCCUGGGGCGCAAACGGGAUUAGAUACCCCGGUAGUCCAGGGUGUAAACGCUGUAGAUUUGGUGUUGGAAAUCCUACGGGGAUUCCCAGUGCCGGAGAGAAGUUGUUAAAUCUACUGCUUGGGGAGUACGGUCGCAAGACUGAAACUUAAAGGAAUUGGCGGGGGAGCACCGCAACGGGUGGAGCGUGCGGUUUAAUUGGAUUCAACGCCGA